CAUCACGCAUGGAAUUAACAUCAUAAUCGUCAUUACUGUUAUUUCUUUGUGUAUUUAAGUUCACAUUAGCCUACGCUGUUUCUUGUCUUAUCAACGUAUACUGAACAGUAAUGUUGUUGUUUCCUUAGUUGACCCGGCACGGCUGGACCAUUACAGACGCGAGGAGGGGACCUGUGAGGGAAUUACGACACGUGGUCAAGAUGUUGUUGAAGGUAUAACAUGGAAGGACAAAGAAAUAUGUGAAACUGGAAGAGGUCAGCUUCUCAGAUUUUAUCAAUGCAGUGAUGCAGAAGUUUCUCAUACCAGAAGAUAAAGUGCUAAAAGUCGCAGGUGAGCAGGGCAGAUGAGGAUGUCUUUCCAGAACCUGCAACAGAAGCAAUGUGUUUUGUCAUCUCUACUGAUGAUGUUGUCCCACUUGCAGAAUCAUCCGAGAACAUAGCUGACUACUCACACCCAAUAGAGUUUGCAGACUACUCCAACCUGAUGGAAUUUGUGACACUUACACCUUGUGGUAGGCAGGCUUAUAGUAAAUCUUUAUUAUGAAAUACAAAAUGGCUCUCUCAUCUAAUGGGGCAAGUUGUGAUUUACUGCAAGUAAACUAAACCUUGGUGUUCUUUGGUGUCGAGAUCUUUUGGAAUGAAAACAUGCUAGUUCUUGAUCUUCCUUGGCACCCUACUGUAUAUGGCAGUUUUGUGUUUGUUAAUUUAUGAUUGUAUGUGCCCUGUAACCUAAUGUUGUUAUUUGUGGUCCUCAGAUUUUACACUACUGCAGCUAGAUGGCGAAGGGUCUUCCUCCCAAGUCUUUCAGAUACGUUGUCCCUCUCAAGCAGUCUAAGCAGUCCUCAAAGCGAUGCUGGUUCUCAAAUGAUUCAACCGGUCAUAGACAGCACCCGCGCAAAAAAUUUAAUCUUUUAACUUCCAUACUUUGUUCUUGUUGGCCUUUCUUCAAAGCCCAGCUUAAUUAAUGUCUUAAUUUUGUCGUUAAUUGUUGUUUUGUAUUUUAAGUGAAAACAUCCCAAGAAAGAUACUGGUUCUAGAAACGGAUAGAUUAAGACAUUUCAAAUCUUUUGAUGCUCGAAUGUCCUAUGGGUGUGAUUGUAUGUUGUAUGUUGUGUCAGAGGGUUUUAUCUUUUAAUGUAUCAACAUUGCUGACUUAAUAUAAGCUAUAUGGAAUUCACCCUUGUUUUUAUGUACAUGUUUAUGCACUUAAAUUACAGGUUUAAACUCUAC
This is a long non-coding RNA of Alosa sapidissima (American shad), 1229 nucleotides long. RefSeq lists it as uncharacterized. The transcript has 4 exons. NCBI's taxonomy places the organism in Eukaryota, Metazoa, Chordata, Actinopteri, Clupeiformes, Clupeidae. The record is from RefSeq and is a predicted model, not a curated record.